RNAcentral lists this ribosomal RNA (450 nucleotides) under uncultured bacterium. RNAcentral describes it as "partial 16S ribosomal RNA". It matches the Rfam family "Bacterial small subunit ribosomal RNA", at positions 354 to 796 of the family's 1533-position model. The record is from RNAcentral.
GUGGGGAAUUUUGGACAAUGGGGGCAACCCUGAUCCAGCCAUGCCGCGUGCGGGAAGAAGGCCUUCGGGUUGUAAACCGCUUUUGUCAGGGAAGAAAUCCUUUGGGUUAAUACCUCGGAGGGAUGACGGUACCUGAAGAAUAAGCACCGGCUAACUACGUGCCAGCAGCCGCGGUAAUACGUAGGGUGCGAGCGUUAAUCGGAAUUACUGGGCGUAAAGCGUGCGCAGGUGGUUUUGUAAGAUCGAUGUGAAAUCCCCGGGCUCAACCUGGGAACUGCAUUGGUGACUGCAAGGCUGGAGUGCGGCAGAGGGGGAUGGAAUUCCGCGUGUAGCAGUGAAAUGCGUAGAUAUGCGGAGGAACACCGAUGGCGAAGGCAAUCCCCUGGGCCUGCACUGACGCUCAUGCACGAAAGCGUGGGGAGCAAACAGGAUUAGAUACCCUGGUAGUCC